GAUGAGCGCUAGCGGCAGGCCUAACACAUGCAAGUCGAGGGGUAACUAGAGUGGUAGCAAUAUUACUUUGGCUAGACCGGCGCACGGGUGCGUAACACGUAUGCAACCUACCUUAUACUGGGGAAUAACUUCGAGAAAUCGGCGCUAAUACCCCAUAACAUUGCGAAGAGGCAUCUCUUUGCAAUUAAAGCUCCGGCGGUAUAAGAUGGGCAUGCGUCCAAUUAGCUAGUUGGUGAGGUAACGGCUCACCAAGGCUACGAUUGGUAGGGGUUCUGAGAGGAUGAUCCCCCACACUGGUACUGAGACACGGACCAGACUCCUACGGGAGGCAGCAGUGAGGAAUAUUGCACAAUGGACGAAAGUCUGACGCAGCCAUGCCGCGUGCAGGAUGACGGCCCUAUGGGUUGUAAACUGCUUUUGUACGGGAAUAAACCCUUCUACGUGUAGGAGGCUGAAGGUACCGUAAGAAUAAGCACCGGCUAACUCCGUGCCAGCCGCCGCGGUAA
RNAcentral lists this ribosomal RNA (506 nucleotides) under uncultured bacterium. Its description in RNAcentral is "partial 16S ribosomal RNA". It matches the Rfam family "Bacterial small subunit ribosomal RNA", at positions 28 to 523 of the family's 1533-position model. The record is from RNAcentral.